Molecule: ribosomal RNA, 484 nt
Filed under: uncultured bacterium
Lineage: Bacteria
Description: partial 16S ribosomal RNA
Rfam family: Bacterial small subunit ribosomal RNA
Source: RNAcentral
AUUGAACGCUGGCGGCAUGCUUUACACAUGCAAGUCGAACGGCAGCGCGGGCUUCGGCCUGGCGGCGAGUGGCGAACGGGUGAGUAAUACAUCGGAAAGUGCCCCGUAGUGGGGGAUAGCUCGGCGAAAGCCGGAUUAAUACCGCCUACGACCUGAGGGUGAAAGCGGGGGAUCUUCGGACCUCGCGCUAUUGGAGCGGCCGAUGGCAGAUUAGCUAGUUGGUGGGGUAAAGGCCUACCAAGGCGACGAUCUGUAGCUGGUCUGAGAGGACGACCAGCCACACUGGGACUGAGACACGGCCCAGACUCCUACGGGAGGCAGCAGUGGGGAAUGUUGGACAAUGGGCGAAAGCCUGAUCCAGCAAUGCCGCAUGUGUGAUGAAGGCCUUCGGGUUGUAAAGCACUUUUGGCGGGAACGAAAAGGACUGUGCCAAUACCACGGUUCGAUGACGGUACCCGCAGAAUAAGCACCGGCUAACUACGUG